This 364-nucleotide unclassified non-coding RNA is filed under the name Hevea brasiliensis (rubber tree). The record is from RNAcentral. Lineage: Eukaryota; Viridiplantae; Streptophyta; Magnoliopsida; Malpighiales; Euphorbiaceae.
AUUACUCUGUUUUUCUGAUGCAUUCUUUCAUAUGACAAAAUUAAACCAGAAUACAAAACUCCACAAGUUAAUUUAAGAAUUCCCCUCCAAGAACAUGAUCCCAAUAACUAAGUAAUUUUAACCCAUCAAAUCAUCAACAGAAUUAAUUUGCCUAUCAAGAUUCGCUCCAAAACUUUGCAUAUUUAUGUACAGAUCUUCAAAAACGAGACCCUUUAUCUAUCUCUAAUUUCAAGAAGAUGUGGGCUGAUGAUGAGAAAAUGGAUAGAACCGGCCGGGUCUUGCCAGGGACAACCCUGUGGCUGUGACUGUGGGUUCAGUACUGCUAUUAUUAUUAUUAUUAUUGGUGGCGGUGGUGGUGGUGGUG